This 253-nucleotide ribosomal RNA is filed under the name uncultured bacterium. Its description in RNAcentral is "partial 16S ribosomal RNA". It matches the Rfam family "Bacterial small subunit ribosomal RNA", at positions 524 to 776 of the family's 1533-position model. The record is from RNAcentral.
UACGGAGGGUGCGAGCGUUGUCCGGAAUCACUGGGCGUAAAGGGCGCGUAGGCGGCUGUGUAAGUCAGUUGUGAAAUCCCGGGGCUCAACUCCGGGGCUGCAGGUGAGACUGCAUGGCUAGAGUACGGUAGAGGCAAGUGGAAUUCCCGGUGUAGCGGUGGAAUGCGUAGAUAUCGGGAAGAACACCGGUGGCGAAGGCGGCUUGCUGGGCCGUUGCUGACGCUGAUGCGCGAAAGCGUGGGGAGCAAACAGG